RNAcentral lists this long non-coding RNA (208 nucleotides) under Capsicum annuum. Its description in RNAcentral is "long non-coding RNA (CANN_LNC006934)". Lineage: Eukaryota; Viridiplantae; Streptophyta; Magnoliopsida; Solanales; Solanaceae. The record is from RNAcentral.
CCGCACCUAGAUAGAAACUCAUAUAGCCAUGUUAUUCGAGCAAAUUCGGCCAUAGGUUCAGACUACGUUAGAGGAUUUUGUGGCCAAGUUUGAGAGGAGGAGUAUGGCAUCUAUUAAGGAAUAUAAUAGAGAGAUACUGAACAUAUAGACAACUUUGAUACUUGGAUGAGUACACGACUGCGUGAGGUAUAAACACCAGACUUGCCGG